ACCAGGCACUUUUGUAAGUUGCUCUGGAUAAAAGCAUCUGCUAAAUGCCAUGCA
This is a regulatory RNA element of Astyanax mexicanus (Mexican tetra), 54 nucleotides long. It matches the Rfam family "UnaL2 LINE 3' element". Rfam says of the family: The eel long interspersed element (LINE) UnaL2 and its partner short interspersed element (SINE) share a conserved 3' tail containing a stem-loop that is critical for their retrotransposition. NCBI's taxonomy places the organism in Eukaryota, Metazoa, Chordata, Actinopteri, Characiformes, Acestrorhamphidae. The record is from Rfam.